UACGUAGGGGGCAAGCGUUGUUCGGAAUUACUGGGCGUAAAGGGCGCGUAGGCGGCCCGUGCAAGUCGGGAGUGAAAGCCCGGGGCUCAACCCCGGAACGGCUCACGAAACUGCGGGGCUCGAGUGCGGAAGAGGCAAUCGGAAUUCCCAGUGUAGCGGUGAAAUGCGUAGAUAUUGGGAAGAACACCGGAGGCGAAGGCGGGUUGCUGGGCCGACACUGACGCUGAUGCGCGAAAGCCAGGGGAGCAAACGGG
RNAcentral lists this ribosomal RNA (254 nucleotides) under uncultured Acidobacteriota bacterium. Its description in RNAcentral is "uncultured Acidobacteria bacterium partial 16S ribosomal RNA". It matches the Rfam family "Bacterial small subunit ribosomal RNA", at positions 524 to 776 of the family's 1533-position model. The record is from RNAcentral. Lineage: Bacteria; Pseudomonadati; Acidobacteriota.